UAGCGACCUUGGGGAAAGAUUUAUCGCCGAAGGAUUGGCCCGCGUCCGAUUAGCUAGUUGGUGAGGUAAUGGCUCACCAAGGCGACGAUCGGUAGCUGGUCUGAGAGGAUGAUCAGCCACAUUGGGACUGAGACACGGCCCAAACUCCUACGGGAGGCAGCAGUGGGGAAUAUUGGACAAUGGGCGCAAGCCUGAUCCAGCCAUGCCGCGUGAGUGAUGACGGCCCUAGGGUUGUAAAGCUCUUUCACCCACGACGAUAAUGACGGUAGUGGGAGAAGAAGCCCCGGCUAACUUCGUGCCAGCAGCCGCGGUAAUACGAAGGGGGCUAGCGUUGUUCGGAUUUACUGGGCGUAAAGCGCGCGUAGGCGGAUCUUUAAGUCAGGGGUGAAAUGCCCGGAGCUCAACUUCGGAACUGCCUUUGAUACUGGAG
RNAcentral lists this ribosomal RNA (430 nucleotides) under uncultured bacterium. RNAcentral describes it as "bacterial SSU rRNA". It matches the Rfam family "Bacterial small subunit ribosomal RNA", at positions 189 to 638 of the family's 1533-position model. The record is from RNAcentral.